Non-coding RNA from Dallia pectoralis (Alaska blackfish), 72 nucleotides. The record is from the annotation of a GenBank genome assembly. NCBI's taxonomy places the organism in Eukaryota, Metazoa, Chordata, Actinopteri, Esociformes, Umbridae.
GUUGGUGUAGCUGAGUGGUAGAGUGCAUCCUUUGUAUGUAUAAUGUGCUGGGUUCAAUCUCCAGCUCUCUCC